This 486-nucleotide ribosomal RNA is filed under the name uncultured bacterium. RNAcentral describes it as "partial 16S ribosomal RNA". It matches the Rfam family "Bacterial small subunit ribosomal RNA", at positions 30 to 507 of the family's 1533-position model. The record is from RNAcentral.
AUUGAACGCUGGCGGCAUGCCUUACACAUGCAAGUCGAACGGCAGCACGGGUGCUUGUACCUGGUGGCGAGUGGCGAACGGGUGAGUAAUACAUCGGAACAUGUCCUGUAGUGGGGGAUAGCCCGGCGAAAGCCGGAUUAAUACCGCAUACGAUCUACGGAUGAAAGCGGGGGACCUUCGGGCCUCGCGCUAUGGGGUUGGCCGAUGGCUGAUUAGCUAGUUGGUGGGGUAAAGGCCUACCAAGGCGACGAUCAGUAGCUGGUCUGAGAGGACGACCAGCCACACUGGGACUGAGACACGGCCCAGACUCCUACGGGAGGCAGCAGUGGGGAAUUUUGGACAAUGGGCGAAAGCCUGAUCCAGCAAUGCCGCGUGUGUGAAGAAGGCCUUCGGGUUGUAAAGCACUUUUGUCCGGAAAGAAAUCCUUGGCCCUAAUACGGUCGGGGGAUGACGGUACCGGAAGAAUAAGCACCGGCUAACUACGUG